AACUUCGCUACGAGCACGAUGCCUCAAG
RNAcentral lists this small RNA (28 nucleotides) under Bombyx mori (domestic silkworm). RNAcentral describes it as "ovarian small RNA-10465". Lineage: Eukaryota; Metazoa; Arthropoda; Insecta; Lepidoptera; Bombycidae. The record is from RNAcentral.